UUGUAGCCAAGACGGGGCAGGAGACAGAGCAAAACCACUGAGACCACCACUGAGAGGGUAACCAGGCUUCUCAGUAGAACCAGGGGCUUGCCGCAGGGACGGGAGCUCUGACUGGCCACGUCGUGGAGUCUGCAGCUGCCCAUGGUGGAGGGAAUGGCAUGCAGGUGACAAGGACAUAGCCGGACCUCACCCCACCCGCAGCCCUAGUGGACACGCCCAUGCAGGUGAUCAGCAGUGCCGUGGCAGCCACAGAGACAGGCCACCACCACUCCUCAGGCCACUCAAAGCCACCAGCCCCUCCCUAAUGGCCUCCUGAGCACCAGAAAUGCAGAGGGGUGACAGCAUGUCUCAGAACACACUGUGAGCACAGACCUAGAAUCACCACGUCGUUCAG
RNAcentral lists this long non-coding RNA (394 nucleotides) under Homo sapiens (human). RNAcentral describes it as "non-protein coding lnc-WDR60-12:1". Lineage: Eukaryota; Metazoa; Chordata; Mammalia; Primates; Hominidae. The record is from RNAcentral.